UACGUAGGGGCCAAGCGUUGUCCGGAUUUAUUGGGCGUAAAGAGCUCGUAGGCGGUUGGGUAAGUCGGGUGUGAAAACUCCAGGCUCAACUUGGAGAUGCCACCCGAUACUGCUCUGACUUGAGUUCGGUAGGGGAGUGGGGAAUUCCUGGUGUAGCGGUGAAAUGCGCAGAUAUCAGGAGGAACACCGAUGGCGAAGGCAGCCCCCUGGGCCAACACUGACGCUCAGGCACGAAAGCGUGGGGAGCAAACAGG
This 254-nucleotide ribosomal RNA is filed under the name uncultured bacterium. Its description in RNAcentral is "partial 16S ribosomal RNA". It matches the Rfam family "Bacterial small subunit ribosomal RNA", at positions 524 to 776 of the family's 1533-position model. The record is from RNAcentral.